CGAGUAAGACAUGCAAUCGCUGCUAGACUAGAUCUAGGAGAGGAAAGUCGGAGCUCCAUAGGGCAGGGUGCUGGAUAACGUCCAGUCAAGGCGACUUGAAGGAAAGUGCAACAGAGAGAUACCGCCUAAAGUUUAAACUUAUAACUUCUAAUUUAUUAGAAUGUAUAAGUUCCACUAACCAAAUCGUAGAUUUGGAGUGUUAUUUAGGUAAGGGUGGAAAGGCGAGGUAAGAGCUCACCAGCAUCAUGGUGACAUGAUGGCUAUGUAAACCCCACUUGGAGCAAGGUCGAAUAGGGAAACAUUUUGGAGUUGCCCGCUCCGUUUCCGGGUGUACCGCUUGAGCUUAUUGGUAACAAUAAGCCUAGAUAGAUGAUUGCUUAAUACAGAACUCCGCUUAUGGCUUGUCUCGCAUA
RNAcentral lists this RNase P RNA (413 nucleotides) under Clostridium beijerinckii. RNAcentral describes it as "bacterial RNase P". It matches the Rfam family "Bacterial RNase P class A". Rfam says of the family: Ribonuclease P (RNase P) is a ubiquitous endoribonuclease, found in archaea, bacteria and eukarya as well as chloroplasts and mitochondria. Its best characterised activity is the generation of mature 5'-ends of tRNAs by cleaving the 5'-leader elements of precursor-tRNAs. The record is from RNAcentral. Lineage: Bacteria; Bacillati; Bacillota; Clostridia; Eubacteriales; Clostridiaceae.